RNAcentral lists this ribosomal RNA (790 nucleotides) under uncultured Microvirga sp. RNAcentral describes it as "bacterial SSU rRNA". It matches the Rfam family "Bacterial small subunit ribosomal RNA", at positions 88 to 914 of the family's 1533-position model. Lineage: Bacteria; Pseudomonadati; Pseudomonadota; Alphaproteobacteria; Hyphomicrobiales; Methylobacteriaceae. The record is from RNAcentral.
GGGGUGAGUGGCAGACGGGUGAGUAACGCGUGGGAACGUGCCCUUCAGUUCGGGAUAACCCAGGGAAACUUGGGCUAAUACCGGAUACGUGCGAGAGCAGAAAGAUUUAUCGCUGAAGGAUCGGCCCGCGUCUGAUUAGCUAGUUGGUGGGGUAAUGGCCCACCAAGGCGACGAUCAGUAGCUGGUCUGAGAGGAUGAUCAGCCACAUUGGGACUGAGACACGGCCCAAACUCCUACGGGAGGCAGCAGUGGGGAAUAUUGGACAAUGGACGCAAGCCUGAUCCAGCCAUGCCGCGUGAGUGAUGAAGGCCUUAGGGUUGUAAAGCUCUUUCGUCCGGGACGAUAAUGACGGUACCGGAAGAAGAAGCCCCGGCUAACUUCGUGCCAGCAGCCGCGGUAAUACGAAGGGGGCUAGCGUUGUUCGGAAUCACUGGGCGUAAAGGGCGCGUAGGCGGCUUUAUAAGUCGGGGGUGAAAGCCUGUGGCUCAACCACAGAAUUGCCUUCGAUACUGUAGAGCUUGAGACCGGAAGAGGUAAGUGGAACUGCGAGUGUAGAGGUGAAAUUCGUAGAUAUUCGCAAGAACACCAGUGGCGAAGGCGGCUUACUGGUCCGGUUCUGACGCUGAGGCGCGAAAGCGUGGGGAGCAAACAGGAUUAGAUACCCUGGUAGUCCACGCCGUAAACGAUGAAUGCCAGCCGUUGGGCAGCUUGCUGCUCAGUGGCGCAGCUAACGCUUUAAGCAUUCCGCCUGGGGAGUACGGUCGCAAGAUUAAAACUCAAAGGAAUUGAC